CAGCAGCCGCGGUAAUACGAAGGGUGCAAGCGUUAAUCGGAAUUACUGGGCGUAAAGCGUGCGUAGGCGGUGAGUUAAGUCUGCUGUGAAAUCCCCGGGCUCAACCUGGGAAUGGCAGUGGAUACUGGCUCGCUAGAGUGUGGUAGAGGAUAGUGGAAUUUCCGGUGUAGCAGUGAAAUGCGUAGAGAUCGGAAGGAACAUCUGUGGCGAAGGCGACUAUCUGGGCCAACACUGACACUGAGGCACGAAAGCGUGGGGAGCAAACAGGAUUAGAUACCCGGGUAGUCCCUGUCUCUUAUAC
Molecule: ribosomal RNA, 301 nt
Filed under: uncultured bacterium
Lineage: Bacteria
Description: partial 16S ribosomal RNA
Rfam family: Bacterial small subunit ribosomal RNA
Source: RNAcentral